This 100-nucleotide small RNA is filed under the name Pongo abelii (Sumatran orangutan). Its description in RNAcentral is "processed transcript". Lineage: Eukaryota; Metazoa; Chordata; Mammalia; Primates; Hominidae. The record is from RNAcentral.
GAAAAAUUCUAGAGACCUGGUGUCUCUGCACUUCUUCACAGGGUCCCUGGCUCCUGUCAGAGCAAAGAGGAAUCAAUCAGUGAUUUCUACUGGUAUUAUU